This 481-nucleotide ribosomal RNA is filed under the name uncultured bacterium. Its description in RNAcentral is "partial 16S ribosomal RNA". It matches the Rfam family "Bacterial small subunit ribosomal RNA", at positions 30 to 507 of the family's 1533-position model. The record is from RNAcentral.
UUGAACGCUGGCGGCAUGCCUUACACAUGCCAGUCGCACGGUAACGGGCCUUCGGGUGCCGACGAGUGGCGAACGGGUGAGUAAUACAUCGGAACGUGCCCGAUCGUGGGGGAUAACGAGGCGAAAGCUUUGCUAAUACCGCAUACGAUCUACGGAUGAAAGCAGGGGACCGCAAGGCCUUGCGCGGACGGAGCGGCCGAUGGCAGAUUAGGUAGUUGGUGGGAUAAAAGCUUACCAAGCCGACGAUCUGUAGCUGGUCUGAGAGGAUGAUCAGCCACACUGGGACUGAGACACGGCCUAGACUCCUACGGGAGGCAGCAGUGGGGAAUUUUGGACAAUGGGCGCAAGCCUGAUCCAGCCAUGCCGCGUGCAGGAUGAAGGCCUUCGGGUUGUAAACUGCUUUUGUACGGAACGAAAAGCCUUCUUUUAAUACAGGAGGGUCAUGACGGUACCGUAAGAAUAAGCACCGGCUAACUACGUG